UACGUAGGUGGCAAGCGUUGUCCGGAUUUAUUGGGUUUAAAGGGUGCGUAGGCGGUCUGUUAAGUCAGUGGUGAAAUCCGGCAGCUCAACUGUCGAUGUGCCAUUGAUACUGGCGGACUUGAGUACUGAUGAGGUAGGCGGAAUGGACGGUGUAGCGGUGGAAUGCUUAGAUAUCCGGAAGAACACCGGUGGCGAAGGCGGCUCGCUGGGCAGUAGCUGACGCUGAGGCGCGACAGCGUGGGGAGCAAACAGGAUUAGAAACCCUAGUAGU
Molecule: ribosomal RNA, 271 nt
Filed under: uncultured bacterium
Lineage: Bacteria
Description: partial 16S ribosomal RNA
Rfam family: Bacterial small subunit ribosomal RNA
Source: RNAcentral